This 400-nucleotide ribosomal RNA is filed under the name uncultured bacterium. RNAcentral describes it as "bacterial SSU rRNA". It matches the Rfam family "Bacterial small subunit ribosomal RNA", at positions 359 to 776 of the family's 1533-position model. The record is from RNAcentral.
GAAUAUUGGACAAUGGGGGCAACCCUGAUCCAGCAAUGCCGCGUGAGUGAUGAAGGCCUUAGGGUUGUAAAGCUCUUUUGCCGGGGACGAUGAUGACGGUACCCGGAGAAUAAGCCCCGGCUAACUUCGUGCCAGCAGCCGCGGUAAUACGAAGGGGGCGAGCGUUGUUCGGAAUUACUGGGCGUAAAGGGCGCGUAGGCGGCGACUCAAGUUAGAUGUGAAAGUCCUGGGCUUAACCUGGGGACUGCAUUUGAUACUGGGUUGCUUGAAUUCGGGAGAGGAUAGCGGAAUUCCCAGUGUAGAGGUGAAAUUCGUAGAUAUUGGGAAGAACACCGGUGGCGAAGGCGGCUAUCUGGACCGACAUUGACGCUGAGGCGCGAAAGCGUGGGGAGCAAACAGG